RNAcentral lists this ribosomal RNA (429 nucleotides) under Bacillota bacterium. RNAcentral describes it as "Firmicutes bacterium partial 16S ribosomal RNA". It matches the Rfam family "Bacterial small subunit ribosomal RNA", at positions 355 to 776 of the family's 1533-position model. The record is from RNAcentral. Lineage: Bacteria; Bacillati; Bacillota.
UAGGGAAUCUUCCACAAUGGACGCAAGUCUGAUGGAGCAACGCCGCGUGAGUGAAGAAGGUUUUCGGAUCGUAAAGCUCUGUUGUUGGUGAAGAAGGAUAGAGGUAGUAACUGGCCUUUAUUUGACGGUAAUCAACCAGAAAGUCACGGCUAACUACGUGCCAGCAGCCGCGGUAAUACGUAGGUGGCAAGCGAUGUCCGGAUUUAUUGGGCGUAAAGCGAGCGCAGGCGGAAGAAUAAGUCUGAUGUGAAAGCCCUCGGCUUAACCGAGGAACUGCGUCGGAAACUGUUUUUCUUGAGUGCAGAAGAGGAGAGUGGAACUCCAUGUGUAGCGGUGGAAUGCGUAGAUAUAUGGAAGAACACCAGUGGCGAAGGCGACUCUCUGGUCUGCAACUGACGCUGAGGCUCGAAAGCAUGGGUAGCGAACAGG